UGUAGCUCAGUGGUAGAGCGCUUGGCUAGCAUGCAUGAGGUUCUGGGUUCAAUUUCCAGUA
This 61-nucleotide transfer RNA is filed under the name Heterocephalus glaber (naked mole-rat). It matches the Rfam family "tRNA", at positions 6 to 65 of the family's 71-position model. Rfam says of the family: Transfer RNA (tRNA) molecules are approximately 80 nucleotides in length. Their secondary structure includes four short double-helical elements and three loops (D, anti-codon, and T loops). Lineage: Eukaryota; Metazoa; Chordata; Mammalia; Rodentia; Bathyergidae. The record is from Rfam by way of RNAcentral.